AUUGAACGCUGGCGGCAGGCCUAACACAUGCAAGUCGAGCGGAUGAAGGGAGCUUGCUCCUGGAUUCAGCGGCGGACGGGUGAGUAAUGCCUAGGAAUCUGCCUGGUAGUGGGGGAUAACGUCCGGAAACGGGCGCUAAUACCGCAUACGUCCUGAGGGAGAAAGUGGGGGAUCUUCGGACCUCACGCUAUCAGAUGAGCCUAGGUCGGAUUAGCUAGUUGGUGGGGUAAAGGCCUACCAAGGCGACGAUCCGUAACUGGUCUGAGAGGAUGAUCAGUCACACUGGAACUGAGACACGGUCCAGACUCCUACGGGAGGCAGCAGUGGGGAAUAGUGGACAAUGGGCGAAAGCCUGAUCCAGCCAUGCCGCGUGUUUGAAGAAGGUCUUCGGAUUGUAAAGCACUUUAAGUUGGGAGGAAGGGCAGUAAGUUAAUACCUUGCUGUUUUGACGUUACCAACAGAAUAAGCACCGGCUAACUUCGUG
Molecule: ribosomal RNA, 484 nt
Filed under: uncultured bacterium
Lineage: Bacteria
Description: partial 16S ribosomal RNA
Rfam family: Bacterial small subunit ribosomal RNA
Source: RNAcentral